UACGGAGGGUGCAAGCGUUGUUCGGAAUCAUUGGGCGUAAAGGGCGCGUAGGCGGGUCGUUAAGUCCGACGUGAAAUCCCUCGGCUCAACUGAGGAAGUGCAUCGGAUACUGGCGGUCUUGAGUCCUGGAGAGGGUAGCGGAAUUCCCAGUGUAGAGGUGAAAUUCGUAGAUAUUGGGAGGAACACCGGUGGCGAAGGCGGCUACCUGGACAGUGACUGACGCUGAGGCGCGAAGGCCAGGGGAGCAAACGGG
RNAcentral lists this ribosomal RNA (253 nucleotides) under uncultured bacterium. Its description in RNAcentral is "partial 16S ribosomal RNA". It matches the Rfam family "Bacterial small subunit ribosomal RNA", at positions 524 to 776 of the family's 1533-position model. The record is from RNAcentral.